UACGUAGGGACCAAGCGUUGUUCGGAUUUACUGGGCGUAAAGGGCGCGUAGGCGGCUUAACAAGUCACUUGUGAAAUCUCCGAGCUUAACUCGGAAAGGUCAACUGAUACUGUGCGACUAGAGUGCGGAAGGGGCAACUGGAAUUCUUGGUGUAGCGGUGAAAUGCGUAGAGAUCCGGAGGAACACCAGAGGCGAAGGCGGCCUACUGGGCCAGUACUGACGCUGAGCCGCGAAAGCCAGGGGAGCGAACGGG
RNAcentral lists this ribosomal RNA (253 nucleotides) under uncultured bacterium. RNAcentral describes it as "partial 16S ribosomal RNA". It matches the Rfam family "Bacterial small subunit ribosomal RNA", at positions 524 to 776 of the family's 1533-position model. The record is from RNAcentral.